AGUGAACGCUGGCGGUAGGCCUAACACAUGCAAGUCGAACGGCAGCACAGUAAGAGCUUGUUCUUACGGGUGGCGAGUGGCGGACGGGCGAGGAAUACAUCGGAAUCUACUUUUUCGUGGGGGAUAACGUAGGGAAACUUACCCUAAUAUCGCACACGACCUAAGGGUGAAAGCAGGGGAUCUUCGGACAUUGCGCGAUUGAAUGCGCUGGAGUCGGAUUAGCGAGUUGGUGGGGUAAAGGCCCACCAAGGCGACGAGCGGUAGCUGGCCUGAGGGGGUGAGCGGCCAAAAUGGGAGUGAGACAAGGCCCAGACUCCUACGGGAGGCAGCAGUAGGGAAUAGUCGGCAAUGGACGAAAGUCUGACCGAGCAAAGCAGCGUGAGUGAAGAAGGGUUUCGGAGCGUAAAGCGCUGUUGUAAGAGAAGAACGGGGGUGAGAGUGGAAAGUUCACAAUGUGACGGUAUCUUACCAGAAAGGGACGGCUAACUACGUG
RNAcentral lists this ribosomal RNA (493 nucleotides) under uncultured bacterium. RNAcentral's name for it is "partial 16S ribosomal RNA". It matches the Rfam family "Bacterial small subunit ribosomal RNA", at positions 30 to 507 of the family's 1533-position model. The record is from RNAcentral.